ACCAAAUGAUAGACACUAAUCUCCAUUUCUUAGAAAUGAGGAAAUAAAACCACAAAAUGUACAAAGUCAGAUCUAAAACCCCUACCUUUGGGUCCAGACUUUUCUUCUAAAGUUCUGCAGUUAUACCCAGAUGCCACAGAAACAUAGGAUCUUAGAGGAGAAGUAACUUAGCAUUUCAUGGAUGGUGCUGCAUCUGUAAGCGAGGAUGGACAAAUGUGUCCAGAACAAGCAGUUGUAACUAUUGUGAGGCCCCAUCUGGAACAGAAGGAGAAGAGACAUUCUAGGGAGGAACACACCAAUGUGUGCAUGAGGAGCAUUUGGAAACAGGUAGGAUGGAUAAUAAGACUUUGGGUUUCUAUGACACUUUUCACAAGGACAUUUAGAAAUGUAUAAAGAUUAUUCCCCAAGCCCUCUCUUCAACUGGGUUAAGAGCAAGAAUAAUUUUCAUGUUUUAUCAAGAAAAACCAGAAUAAGGAGAAUUGUCUCUACUCUGCCAGCUUUACCCAGCUCAGAAACCAAGUCCCACCCUUCUGAGAUUAGAGACAUCGUCUGUCAGACUCACUGCCUCUCCCCAGCCUCUCUUUGGUUCUCUACUUUGUAUAAACCAAUGUUCUUGGCUCCUUAUUUAAUCUUAAAAUCAAUGUUGGGUGAAUCAGUCAGAAUAUUUGGACAUUCUGUUCAGAAAACAUUGUAAAUUGAUCAAGAUUUGCUUGUCCUGCAAAACUCUCCUGGCAUUCUUAAUAGCAGUCUUCUGUCCUCAGAUGACCUCAUGAAAUGUAGAGUUUGUGUGAGGAGAUGAUAUGGACAAUUUCCCCAUUGCCCUGAAAGAGACACACCCUGUUACACUACUUUGCCUUCAUCCAUGCUGUCCUCUCUUCCCAGCAUGCCUUUCUUCCCUGCCUGCGUCCACCUUCAAUGUUCUUAUGUGCCUUCUAAAAUUAAGUUUGACUACUAUCAUCCCCCUCAUCAAGGCUUCACACACAUACUUCAUUUCUCCUUCUUAACAAAGCCCCAAUUUUGUUCAAGUCCCACUCACUCCUCUCCCACAAGAUGUGUGUCUGAAGAAAGGUGUUGAUCUUAGUCCCAUCUGCAUGAAAGGACUAAUCAACAUAAGCAAAAUCUCAGUCCCUUUGCCAGGGAUUGGCUAAAGAAUUGUCAUACAGUCUUGGCCAAUCAGACAGGAGGGAAAGCUUGUGAAGGGCUCUCAGUCCUCAUUAGUAAGAUGGGGACCAAGAAAGAGAUGGUCAGCCCUCUUCCCCUAGUUGUGCCAUGUCUGACUGUGGCCUUAGGGUGGCUGCCUUCCUCUCAGCAACAAGCCAAGUAGGCCAGCUGGCUUCUUAGUAACACUCCAUGUUCACUUAACUCUGAGAGUCUCAGUUUCCUCUUUUUCAAAAUGAGGAAGUUGACCUCAAUUAUCCGUAGCUUCCUUUUAACUUUAGAAUACCACACAUGCCUCUAAAAGAUGAUGGGGGAGGAGAUAUGGAGGAGGAUCUAGGAAGUGAAGAAGGCCACUUAAUUUCAUCUGUAGCUCUAACCAUCUGCUGCUAUUAACAUGAGCAAGCAGCUAUUUGCAUUUUAUGACUGGGUGAUCUCAACUCUCUAGUUUAAGAAACAAGUACUAAUCUUGGUUUAACCACUAAAAUAUCCUCACAUUUCCCCAUUCCCCGAAGUGAAUCUAUUAAUAUCCCUUUAUCUUGUUUGGUAAACAAAAUGUUUUUUACUAACAUUAAAUGAAAAGGGUAGUACAAUUCAAGUUUAGGAACCAAAAAGAUUUUUUUCCCCUUAAUUUCAAGUUAAACCAUUUUAUUCUCCUUCUGUAAUUGUUCCAAAACCACCCAAGAAGACCUAAAGAAUUUGUAAAUGGAGAAGUAUGGAAAAAAAUUUUUUUUAAUGCAGGAUUACAUUGCUUAAGGUUAGUAGGUCUUAGCUUGCUUCGAAAUGUUAAGAGACUUAAGUUGAAGCACCAUCUAGUGGCUCUCAAUUGUGUUCUGCUAAAAAUUGCUCCCAGUCUCCCUGUAUUUAGGACCACAGUUAAUUUGUUGGGCAUGUAUAUCAUUGACCCUGGAACAGCAAGUUGAAAGUGCACAGAUCUACUUAUAUGUGGAUUUCUUCCACUUCUGCGUCCCCUGAGACAGCAAAACCAACCUCUCUACUUCCUCCUCCUCUUCAGUCUACUCAAUGUGAAGACAACAAGGAUGAAGACCUUUAUGAUGAUUUACUUCCGCUUAAUAAAUAUCUUCAGUUCCUACCUGACAUGAUUUAUCCUCUGGAAGAAAACAAAUCCUGUGGUGACCAGAAUGACCACAAAAAGAGAGAGUUUCACAUAAAGAAUGAUCAGUAAGGACAACGCUGGAGAUCCUGAGUUAAAUGUACAAGAGAGAAAACAGUGCUGGAUGAACAUUACAGAUUAUAAAUCAUCUAAGGAAUUCAGAACGUUUAAUCAACUCUAACACAGAGGUCAGGGAGAAGCAGGACUUGAAAUGGACCUUGCUGGUCUGCGGGAUUGAAUAGGUUAAAAGAAAGACUUUUCAAGAUAAAGAACUAAUUUGAGAAAAGUUUUAAAGAUGAGUUUACCUAAGUCAUAUUUGGAGCAUAGAAUGGAAUAUGUAGAGAUGAGUCUGCAAUGAUUUGAACCUAAUUCUGCAGUGACUUGUAUGUGUCAGCAACUGUGCCAGACUUUAGGAAUACAAAAAUAAAAGUAGUGGUUCCAACUCUCAAGGACCUUACACUGUGCUGAGAGUCACAGAAGUAAGUGGUUGUAAUAUGAUAAGCAAUAUGUAUGUAUUUGGUCUUUGUCCCCCAGUUCCUGGCACACUUCCAAGGAUUUUUCCUAAACUUCUUGGAAGUUCCACAGUGAUCCAUCUUUUGUAUGCUAAUGAGAUGAGUGGUGGCUGGGAGCCUGAAGACAGCUUCAGGAUGGGGCUGGUAAUUAGAAAGACCAAGACAUGGUUAGAGGGUUGAAACUUUCAGCCCCACACCACCACUCUCCCCUUCCAUUGACCUCCUGGGAGGGGAGAGGGGCUAGAGAUUAAGCUAAAAACCAAUGCCCAACAAUUUAAUCAAUCAUACCUAUGUAAUAGAGCCUCCACAAAAACUCUACAUGACAGAGUCUGGAGAGCUUCUGGGUUGGGAGAUUUUCUGAGCUGGUGAACACACUGAGGGGCUGGGAGGUUGGCACUCCCAGAGACAUCACGGAAGCUCCUUCCCCCAUACCUUGCCCUAUGCAUCUCUUUUUAUCUUUUUUUGUCUGUUCCUGAGUUGGACACUUUACAAUAAAUUAGUAAUAGUAAAUAAGUGCAUUCCUGAGUGUCAAAUUUAAAAAUCUAAGCUGUUGGAAUUUUAAAAUAUGUUGAGCCUUAACGGAAUGUGAUUAUGAGACCUGAGUUAUGUAAACAAGCAGCUAUGACCUAGGCAGCCAAAAUUUUUGUUUACCUGAUUGUACAUUAGCCUUUUUCCUUGCCUACAUUGUUUUGUAAACUGCUGUAAAUGAUUAAAGGGUGCCAGGGAAGACGUAUUCCCUCUAAACUGUUGAUCUUCAUUAUUGAUUAACUUCCUUCUUUCUUCUCUCAUACAAUGACUACCACAUUGCCUAACAUGAAAUGUUAACUGUACUCUUAAAAUUGGAAAGGAAAUGAAAACAAACUGUACAGAAAAGAAAACAAACUGUAACUUUAAUUAAAUCAUUAUAACUCAUAAACCAGCUUUGUAUGUAAAAAGGGUAUAAUCCUACUGAAUUUGUUUUCUGCCUAUAUAAGCAAGACCUUAAGUUUGAAGUUUGAAGCACUGACCCCAUUCCUUUGGAGUCUGUGUUACCCGAAUGGCUGUUCUCAGACUUUUGCUUAAAUAAACUCUUUUAAACUGGA
RNAcentral lists this long non-coding RNA (3863 nucleotides) under Homo sapiens (human). RNAcentral's name for it is "HSALNT0313819". The record is from RNAcentral. Lineage: Eukaryota; Metazoa; Chordata; Mammalia; Primates; Hominidae.